Molecule: ribosomal RNA, 134 nt
Filed under: Staphylococcus aureus
Lineage: Bacteria; Bacillati; Bacillota; Bacilli; Caryophanales; Staphylococcaceae
Description: partial 16S ribosomal RNA
Rfam family: Bacterial small subunit ribosomal RNA
Source: RNAcentral
ACCACGAGAGUUUGUAACACCCGAAGCCGGUGGAGUAACCUUUUAGGAGCUAUCCGUCGAAGGUGGGACAAAUGAUUGGGGUGAAGUCGUAACAAGGUAGCCGUAUCUGAAGGUGCGGCUGGAUCACCUCCUUU